UACGUAGGAAGCGAGCGUUGUUCGGAAUUACUGGGCGUAAAGAGUGUGUAGGCGGUGCUCUAAGUUCGGUGUGAAAUCUCCCGGCUUAACUGGGAGGGUGCGCCGGAAACUGGAGUGCUCGAGCGUGGGAGAGGAAAGCGGAAUUCCUGGUGUAGCGGUGAAAUGCGUAGAUAUCAGGAGGAACACCUGCGGUGUAGACGGCUUUCUGGACCAUUGCUGACGCUGAGACACGAAAGCGUGGGUAGCAAACAGG
This 253-nucleotide ribosomal RNA is filed under the name uncultured bacterium. RNAcentral's name for it is "partial 16S ribosomal RNA". It matches the Rfam family "Bacterial small subunit ribosomal RNA", at positions 524 to 776 of the family's 1533-position model. The record is from RNAcentral.